Molecule: ribosomal RNA, 579 nt
Filed under: Laccaria fengkaiensis
Lineage: Eukaryota; Fungi; Basidiomycota; Agaricomycetes; Agaricales; Hydnangiaceae
Description: Laccaria sp. FL-2019a partial large subunit ribosomal RNA
Rfam family: Eukaryotic large subunit ribosomal RNA
Source: RNAcentral
UCUUUGGCUGUCCGAGUUGUAAUCUAGAGAAGCAUUAUCCGCGUUGGACUGUGUACAAGUCUCCUGGAAUGGAGCCUCAUAGAGGGUGAGAAUCCCGUCUUCGACACAGACUGCCAGGGCUUUUGUGAUAUGCUCUCAAAGAGUCGAGUUGUUUGGGAAUGCAGCUCAAAAUGGGUGGUAAAUUCCAUCUAAAGCUAAAUAUUGGCGAGAGACCGAUAGCGAACAAGUACCGUGAGGGAAAGGUGAAAAGAACUUUGGAAAGAGAGUUAAACAGUACGUGAAAUUGCUGAAAGGGAAACGCUUGAAGUCAGUCAUGUUGGCCAGGGAUCAACCUUGCUAUUUUGCUUGGCUUACUUUCUGGUCAAUGGGUCAGCAUCAAUUUUGGCUGGUGGAAAAAGUUCAAGGGAAUGUGGCAUCCUUGGAUGUGUUAUAGCCUUUGUUCGCAUACAUCAGUUGAGAUUGAGGAAUGCAGCACGCCGAAAGGUCGGGUUUUUAACCACGUUCGUGCUUAGGAUGCUGGCAUAAUGGCUUUAAUCGACCCGUCUUGAAACACGGACCAAGGAGUCUAACAUGCCUGCA